This 529-nucleotide ribosomal RNA is filed under the name uncultured bacterium. Its description in RNAcentral is "bacterial SSU rRNA". It matches the Rfam family "Bacterial small subunit ribosomal RNA", at positions 1 to 525 of the family's 1533-position model. The record is from RNAcentral.
UAGAGUUUGAUCAUGGCUCAGAUUGACCCUUUGCGGCAUGCUUAACACAUGCAAGUCGAACGGCAGCACACUCUAGCUUGCUUGAUGGGUGGCGAGUGGCGAACGGGUGAGUAAUGCGUAGGAAUAUACCUUAGAGUGGGGGACAACUUGGGGAAACUCAAGCUAAUACCGCAUGAAGUCGAGAGACGAAAGCUGGGGACCAUUAGGCCUGGCGCUUUAAGAUUAGCCUACGUCCGAUUAGCUAGUUGGUGGGGUAAGGGCCUACCAAGGCGACGAUCGGUAGCUGGUCUGAGAGGAUGAUCAGCCACACUGGAACUGAGACACGGUCCAGACUCCUACGGGAGGCAGCAGUGGGGAAUAUUGGACAAUGGGGGCAACCCUGAUCCAGCAAUGCCGCGUGUGUGAAGAAGGCCUGAGGGUUGUAAAGCACUUUCAGUGGGGAGGAGAGUCUUUAGGUUAAGAGCUAGAGGAUUGGACGUUACCCACAGAAGAAGCACCGGCUAACUCCGUGCCAGCAGCCGCGGUAAUA